Molecule: ribosomal RNA, 922 nt
Filed under: uncultured Photobacterium sp.
Lineage: Bacteria; Pseudomonadati; Pseudomonadota; Gammaproteobacteria; Vibrionales; Vibrionaceae
Description: bacterial SSU rRNA
Rfam family: Bacterial small subunit ribosomal RNA
Source: RNAcentral
UGAUACGGAGGGUGCAAGCGUUAAUCGGAAUUACUGGGCGUAAAGCGCAUGCAGGCGGCCUGUUAAGUCAGAUGUGAAAGCCCGGGGCUUAACCUCGGAAUUGCAUUCGAAACUGGCAGGCUAGAGUCUUGUAGAGGGGGGUAGAAUUUCAGGUGUAGCGGGGAAAUGCGUAGAGAUCUGAAGGAAUACCAGUGGCGAAGGCGGCCCCCUGGACAAAGACUGACGCUCAGAUGCGAAAGCGUGGGGAGCAAACAGGAUUAGAUACCCUGGUAGUCCACGCCGUAAACGAUGUCUACUUGGAGGUUGUGGCCUUGAGCCGUGGCUUUCGGAGCUAACGCGUUAAGUAGACCGCCUGGGGAGUACGGUCGCAAGAUUAAAACUCAAAUGAAUUGACGGGGGCCCGCACAAGCGGUGGAGCAUGUGGUUUAAUUCGAUGCAACGCGAAGAACCUUACCUACUCUUGACAUCCAGAGAAGCUUGAAGAGAUUCGAGUGUGCCUUCGGGAACUCUGAGACAGGUGCUGCAUGGCUGUCGUCAGCUCGUGUUGUGAAAUGUUGGGUUAAGUCCCGCAACGAGCGCAACCCUUAUCCUUGUUUGCCAGCACUUCGGGUGGGAACUCCAGGGAGACUGCCGGUGAUAAACCGGAGGAAGGUGGGGACGACGUCAAGUCAUCAUGGCCCUUACGAGUAGGGCUACACACGUGCUACAAUGGCAUAUACAGAGGGCAGCAAGACCGCGAGGUGGAGCGAAUCCCAGAAAGUAUGUCGUAGUCCGGAUCGGAGUCUGCAACUCGACUCCGUGAAGUCGGGAUCGCUAGUAAUCGUGGAUCAGAAUGCCACGGUGAAUACGUUCCCGGGCCUUGUACACACCGCCCGUCACACCAUGGGAGUGGGCUGCACCAGAAGUAGAUAGCUUAACCUUC